Molecule: ribosomal RNA, 426 nt
Filed under: wastewater metagenome
Description: bacterial LSU rRNA
Rfam family: Bacterial large subunit ribosomal RNA
Source: RNAcentral
CCCAAUAGUUCACAUAGACGGCGCUGUUUGGCACCUCGAUGUCGGCUCAUCUCAUCCUGGAGGGGGAGCACCUUCCAAGGGUCCGGCUGUUCGCCGGUUAAAGAGGUACGUGAGCUGGGUUCAGAACGUCGUGAGACAGUUCGGUUUAUAUCCGCUGUGGACGAUAGGAAAUUUGAGAGAAUCUGCCCCUAGUACGAGAGGACCGGGGUGGACGCACCGCUGGUGUAUCGGUUGUUCUACCAAGAGCAUUGCCGAGUAGCUAUGUGCGGAAUAGAUAAGCGCUGAAAGCAUAUUAAGCGCGAAACUAGUCUCAAGAUUAGAUUUCCCUAUGAGGACACUGAAAGACGAUCAGUUUGAUAGGCGCAAGGUGGAAGUACGGUAACGUAUGGAGCCGAAGCGUACUAAUAGUCCCAUUGACUUUUUACG